UCUUCGCCUCCUCGCCUGCCCCAACACCUCACCCCCAGUCUCCUCGACCUCGAGGAGGACAACUCCGAUUUGGACCUCAAGUACUGCCUCCCCGACACCUCCAUCCCCAAGUACAUCCUCCCGUCAGACGAGGACGAGAUUUGGAUUGAGGCACAACAGAGAUGAGGAAGGACAAAGCAUGAAUAGCUCCAGUGAGAGUGAAUGGAUAUGAACACCAGAACCCUCUCAGAGGAUGUUGGCUGAUCGGGAUACCCAAUUCUCAAACAAGCAUGCUGAGAUGCUCAAGAUAUGGAAGUUCGCCCACAAGCUCAGCCACCAGGUUUUUUUGGUUCAUGUUCAAUGGGAGGCGAAGAGUGUAGAGAGGGUAUCUGAUGUAGGUCCAAGUUAAACAUUUGUUUCUUUUAUUGUGUUUAGGUGAACACAUGUCAAAGGUGCAUACGGACAUGAUGAAGCCGUGAAUUGUCGCACAGCUCACUGACCUUCUUGGGUUCGAAAAACUACCUAACUGCUAUUAUCCUGAAUUUAGUUUUAUCUGAACUAAGAGGACUACAUGUGCUUCUCUAACAAAGAAUUACUCAUUUGGUGUUCUUUUGCACUGUUGAUUUUAGUUCAAAUUGGUGUGAGUGCGACCUAUUUGUCAUGUUGGAUAAGCCUUUCUGUAUCACAUGGAUGUGGCCUGUAGUAUGGUGUAGAAAAGUGAUGAAAGGUAUUAGUUAGAAUUAAUUUGGCAGCAAUAGCUUAUCAAGUUUUUGCCAAGCCAUCUAUUUGUAGAAUUUCUGCAGCUGUAGUUUGUGCCAGCUCCCUCAUGUAGAUAUAUAUACUAGCAGACUAGCACGCAAAUUAUUUGCAUCAAAACUAAGACAUAUCUAUAUAUGAUGGAGGCAUUUCUUUCUUUAUAUUCAGCACACCUCUUGCUGCUAUAAAGAAAGUAGAAACAUGGUUGAUAAAUAAUCAGAUUGUUCUGCCCAUUAUUAAUUUCACAAUCCAUUACAAUUGUUAUGUCCUUGCAAUCAUACCACUACACAUGACGCUUCCUAGAUCUAAAACCCAACCAAAGAACAAUAAAGUUUGAUUCGUGCUGUUAUUGGGCCUCGAUGCGACCCUGAUGUUUUUGGCCCAAGUUGGGCAGAAUCUGCUCAUGCUUAUAAAACAAGUUUGUUAACAGAUUAAAUAGUCCCACCUAGCUUCUUACAGCUAAUUCUAUCAAGUUUUUUUAAUAAAUCUAUCAAUUUACAUAUGCCUAUAAGUAUGAGAAUUAACAAGCAGCCUGAGAAUAAACUAACAGAGGGUGAGCUGUGUUUUGGAAAAAGUAUCACCCCGGUUGGCGUAAUAAAUAAAAGGAGUUGGGGAUUGUUGGCUGCCAAACGAAAAAUCUCAGCGGGCCUAAAUAAAAGGGAUUGCGCACUGCGAAUCAAAAAACCCUGGUUAGUAUAAAUAAUGGAAAUUGUGGGCUCUGAAAUGAAAAAUUCCGGUUGACAUAAAUAAAGGGGAUUGUGGGCUAUGAAACGAAUAAUCUCAAUUGAGCACGAUUGUUGUAUGCUAAAGGAAAAAUAGCGACCGUGGUCUGCGAAACAAAAAAUAAGCAAAGGCCCCCGGUUGGCAUAAAUAAAAUGCUAUGAAAUGAAGAAAAUAAAUAAAUGGGCAUGGUUGAACAAUUUCAGUAUUUUAUACUUAUACUAUUUUCAUUUAAAGGAUGAAUUUUGUCAUCCCGUUGCAACACACAGGCAUGUGUCCUAGAAGAUAUUUGGAAUGCAGAGUUCAUGAAAACAAAUCUCAGUCCUUUUUUCUUCUUCUGAAAAGCUCUCUUCAUUCUUUUUCUCGUCUAUUCUUACUGCUUGAGAAUUGUUGCAGUCCGUACCAUGUAUCCACUGUUUCCUAAGGAGAGUGUUCCUAUGCUAAAAGUUGUUGUUUUAUCCUUGCAGAUUUUUUCUGUCGGAUUUGUGCGGUCUAAAUAGUACUGUACUGUAUUUAGUUUUCUGGAAGGAUGCAAAAGUCAUACUGGGCUUCCUGUGUAUACUGAUUGCUAAAUGAUGCAGUAGCAUUUGUGCAGUGGGGGAGUGUCAUUCCCUGUGUUUACCGAUUGGCCUCACCCUCUUAAGAGAUCUAACCCUUGUCACCGUAAGGAAAAAAGCAAAGAGUAUUAUGACGCCAUAAAGUUUGAAUUCAGAGAAGUAUAUGCUGAAGAACACCAGAAUUAGUCUUCAUGAACCAUCAUCGCCUUGUUGAUGGUACUUCAAAUGUAAGUUUUCUGGUCCUUUGACAAGGUCUUCCAAUUAGUCAGAAGCGAUGUCAAAUGGUACGCACAUUUUUUAUUUUAAUUUUCUUGAAUUGUUAAGUUGAGCAUGGAUGCUUGCAUUUCCA
This is a long non-coding RNA of Triticum aestivum (bread wheat), 2361 nucleotides long. RefSeq lists it as uncharacterized. The transcript is spliced from 3 exons. The record is from RefSeq and is a predicted model, not a curated record. NCBI's taxonomy places the organism in Eukaryota, Viridiplantae, Streptophyta, Magnoliopsida, Poales, Poaceae.